GAUGAACGCUGUCUACAGGCUUAACACAUGCAAGUCGAGGGGAAACGACGGGGUAGCUUGCUUCCCCGGGCGUCGACCGGCGCAUGGGUGAGUAACGCGUAUCCAAUCUGCCUCUGACUGAGGGAUAACCCGUCGAAAGUCGGCCUAAUACCCUAUGGCAGCGACUGCGGGCAUCUAACGACGCUUAAUGACUUAUUCGGUUAGGGAUGGGGAUGUGUCUGAUUAGCUUGUUGGCGGAGUAACGGCCCACCAAGGCUACGAUCAGUAGGGGUUCUGAGGGGAAGGCACCCCAGAAUGGAGCUGAGACACGGUCCAAACUCGUACGGGAGGCAGCAGUGUGGAAGAUUGGUCGAUGGGCGGGAGCCUAAACCAGCCAAGUAGCGUGCAGGAGGACGGCCAUAUGGGUUGUAAACUGCUUUUAUGCGGGGAUAGAGUGUGAGACGUGUCCUUCAUUGCAGGUACCGCAUGAAUAAGGACCGGCUAAUUCCGUG
This 491-nucleotide ribosomal RNA is filed under the name uncultured bacterium. RNAcentral's name for it is "partial 16S ribosomal RNA". It matches the Rfam family "Bacterial small subunit ribosomal RNA", at positions 28 to 507 of the family's 1533-position model. The record is from RNAcentral.